GCCGUAGUAGCUCAGUUGGUUAGAGCGUCGGUCUAAUAAGCCGAAGGCCGCAGGAUCGUGACCUGCCGGUGGCA
Molecule: non-coding RNA, 74 nt
Organism: Ditylenchus destructor
Lineage: Eukaryota; Metazoa; Nematoda; Chromadorea; Rhabditida; Anguinidae
Source: the annotation of a GenBank genome assembly